Molecule: ribosomal RNA, 370 nt
Filed under: uncultured organism
Description: partial 16S ribosomal RNA
Rfam family: Bacterial small subunit ribosomal RNA
Source: RNAcentral
GGAGGGUGCGAGCGUUAAUCGGAAUUACUGGGCGUAAAGCGCGCGCAGGCGGCUGGGUCAGUCGGAUGUGAAAGCCCCGGGCUUAACCUGGGAAUUGCAUUCGAUACUGCCCGGCUAGAGUAUGGGAGAGGGAAGUGGAAUUUCCGGUGUAGCGGUGAAAUGCGUAGAUAUCGGAAGGAGCACCAGUGGCGAAGGCGGCUUCCUGGCCCAAUACUGACGCUCAGGUGCGAAAGCGUGGGGAGCGAACAGGGAUUAGAUACCCUGGUAGUCCACGCUGUAAACGAUGAGAACUAGAUGUUGGGAGGGUUAGCCUCUCAGUGUCGCAGCUAACGCGUUAAGUUCUCCGCCUGGGAGUACGACCGCAAGGUUG